RNAcentral lists this ribosomal RNA (253 nucleotides) under uncultured bacterium. Its description in RNAcentral is "partial 16S ribosomal RNA". It matches the Rfam family "Bacterial small subunit ribosomal RNA", at positions 524 to 776 of the family's 1533-position model. The record is from RNAcentral.
UACAGAGGUCUCAAGCGUUGUUCGGAUUCAUUGGGCGUAAAGGGUGCGUAGGUGGCGCGGUAAGUCGGGUGUGAAAUCUCGGAGCUUAACUCCGAAAUUGCAUUCGAUACUGCCGUGCUCGAGGACUGGAGAGGAGACUGGAAUUCAUGGUGUAGCAGUGAAAUGCGUAGAGAUCAUGAGGAAGACCAGUGGCGAAGGCGGGUCUCUGGACAGUUACUGACACUGAGGCACGAAGGCCAGGGGAGCAAACGGG